Cryptotermes secundus is the source of this 213-nucleotide long non-coding RNA. RefSeq lists it as uncharacterized. The transcript is spliced from 2 exons. The record is from RefSeq and is a predicted model, not a curated record. NCBI's taxonomy places the organism in Eukaryota, Metazoa, Arthropoda, Insecta, Blattodea, Kalotermitidae.
GUGCCAAGUAAUUCUGUGAGAGACUGUUGUAAAGUUGCCUAUUGUAAAUUUAACACCAAUGAACAGGGGUCAAACCUGAAUUUGGGCCAGGGAUGUUUGUAUAGUAAAGAUCUUGUUGUAGGAUGGUGAUACCUGUCUUAUUUGAUAAAUAUAAUGUAAGCUAAUUAAAAAUUGGCAUUUUUUUGUGUAAAUAUAUUUUAAAAAAUCAUAGUA